UACGUAGGGGGCAAGCGUUGUCCGGAAUCAUUGGGCGUAAAGCGCGCGUAGGCGGCCCGGUAAGUCCGCUGUAACAGUCCAGGGCUCAACCCUGGAAAGCCGGUGGAUACUGUCGGGCUAGAGUCCGGAAGAGGCGAGUGGAAUUCCUGGUGUAGCGGUGGAAUGCGCAGAUAUCAGGAGGAACACCGAUGGCGAAGGCAGCUCGCUGGGACGGUACUGACGCUGAGGCGCGAAAGCGUGGGGAGCGAACAGG
RNAcentral lists this ribosomal RNA (253 nucleotides) under uncultured bacterium. Its description in RNAcentral is "partial 16S ribosomal RNA". It matches the Rfam family "Bacterial small subunit ribosomal RNA", at positions 524 to 776 of the family's 1533-position model. The record is from RNAcentral.